UAGGGAAUCUUCCGCAAUGGACGAAAGUCUGACGUAGCGACGCCGCGUGAGCGAAGAAGGUCUUCGGAUCGUAAAGCUCUGUUGUUAGGGAAGAAGAAGUGCCGUUCGAACAGGGCGGCGCGGUGACGGUACCUAACGAGAAAGCCCCGGCUAACUACGUGCCAGCAGCCGCGGUAAUACGAAGGGGGCGAGCGUUGUCCGGAAUUAUUGGGCGUAAAGCGCGCGCAGGCGGUCCCUUAAGUCUGAUGUGAAAGACCACGGCUUAACCGUGGAGGGUCAUUGGAAACUGGGGGACUUGAGUGCAGAAGAGGAGAGCGGAAUUCCACGUGUAGCGGUGAAAUGCGUAGAGAUGUGGAGGAACACCAGUAGCGAAGGCGGCUCUCUGGUCUGUAACUGACGCUGAGGCGCGAAAGCGUGGGGAGCAAACAGG
Molecule: ribosomal RNA, 430 nt
Filed under: Acidobacteriota bacterium
Lineage: Bacteria; Pseudomonadati; Acidobacteriota
Description: Acidobacteria bacterium partial 16S ribosomal RNA
Rfam family: Bacterial small subunit ribosomal RNA
Source: RNAcentral